Molecule: non-coding RNA, 2541 nt
Organism: Elaeis guineensis (African oil palm)
Lineage: Eukaryota; Viridiplantae; Streptophyta; Magnoliopsida; Arecales; Arecaceae
Source: RefSeq, a predicted model, not a curated record
UCUUUAAUCUUUUUUUUUUGUUUUUUUCGAUCCAUCGUUCGAUGUUUUUCUUCUUCGAUUUAGCGUAGUUUUUCUUCUCUAUUGCAAAAUCCUCACCGAGGUACACAAAUCGCACCUGAUCCAUCGUUCUAGGGUUUUUUUCUUCGAUUUAGGGUAGUUUCUCUCCUCUUUUGCAAAACCCUCAGCGAUUUCCAGGAGUUCUCUUAGGGCUCGUUUGGGUAAGUUUUGAUAUCAACUUCUGAUCCUUUCAUUUUCUUUUCUCACGAUCCCAAGAGCUCUUUAAUCUUUUUUUUUUUCGAUCCAUCGUUCGAUGUUUUUCUUCUUCGAUUUAGCGUAGUUUUUCUUCUCUAUUGCAAAAUCCUCACCGAGGUACACAAAUCGCACCUGAUCCAUCGUUCUAGGGUUUGCUUCUUCGAUUUAGGGUAGUUUCUCUCCUCUUUUGCAAAACCCUCAGCGAUUUCCAGGAGUUCUCUUAGGGCUCGUUUGGAGAGUUCAAUAUUUGGCGGGACACUAAAUCUUGUCUCUAGGCAGCCUUCCCAUCAACUUCUGGUACUUAGCCAGAACCAACUUUGGGAGCAUCAUCAACUAGCACAUCUGGCAGUUCUUGCAUUUCAUUGGUGGAGAUGAUCCAACAAACUUUCAAGGACUAAGAUAUUUUCAUGCAUCUAUAUACUGAUUGUGUUUUUUUCCUUGUUAGUAAAAUUAUACAUUAUAAGUAUGACAAAAGAGUAAAUUCAUGUGAGAUCAGUGUUAUUCUUCUACUUUCGGAUAUGGGAUGAUGUAACAGACUCUGUUGGAUUUAUGAGUUUGAUGUGGUUUAUAGCUUGCUUGGUUCCUUUGACUUUGGUGCUUUAUGCAGAUGAAUUUUGUACUCCCUUAUUUUUUGGACAAAUGGUGGGUGGAAUUGUUUUAGGUGGGCUCCUGAGGUUGCUGAGAACAGUGGAGUGUUGUGAAUUGCGUGCCUUAUUACUUAAGUGAGGUUUUACUAUCUACGAAAUUAUAGACCAAUACAAAAAAAUUUAGUAUAUUUUUUUUGCUGCUCAACACAUUAACUUCAUAAUUUUCAAUAGAUGUUUGCUUGUCAAUCUUGAUAUCAAACUUUACAUUGUGUACUCUUGAUGCUUUGACUUUAUGAUGUACAACCUUGGACUCAUGCCCUCCAAAUAUGAAGUUUAUAAUGUGUUAGCUUCUUAUGGUUCAUCAACAAUACUAUUUUCUUGCUAUAAGUGACCUAAUAAGCCCAUUUCCCGGUAUGGUACUAUUUGCAAUAAUGUUAUGGGAUGAUGUUAUAUAUGUGGCUUCUAUCACGGCUGGUUGCCCAAACAUUUUGGUAUAUUGUCAUGAUUUGUUUUCAUUUGAUAUUUUGCCUUGUUAAGGCAGUUUGUUCUAUUAUAUAAUGUUCCUUUGCAUUAUAAAUUCUGAUCGAUUUCUGCCUAGGUUACUAUUGUCUUUUUAAUGAAUUUUGAUGCUGUAUUUGACAUGUAUCAUUUGUUUUAUGCGCACUUUGCAGCUAUUUUUACAUUUGUUCCCCUUCAUUAGUUGGCAGAUGCCGCAGAUGUGAAUGAAUAUGAAAAUUAGAAUUGUAUGGUUGACAUAGGUAGCGUUCGUGCCGCAAUAUGGACAAAUGAUGAUGAAAAAAAAAUUAUUCUACUUGUGGAAGAAGAGGUUAUCAAAGGGAACAGGCCCAAAUGAAGCCUGCAUGGCAUCGUUUCUGCGAAGCACUUCAUGCACAAACCAGGAAGAACUGUGAUGACAGACAAUUGAGAAAUAAGUUCAACCAAUUAGGGACUUGACAGAAGGAAUUUGCUAAUUUGAUAAAGGAGAAGGGAAUUGGUUGGAACUCAAGGACAGGCAUUGUUACUGCAACUGAUGAGGUCUGGCAGUGCUUAUACAAGUGCAGAAGUUUGCAAAAAGGUUUCACAAGAAAGGGCGUCUGCUAUUUAAUAAAUUGUCUGAUUUACGGGGGCAUAGUAACUGGCUCGUUCAAGCAUCCUUCAGGAAGGCAUCCAGAAAUGGUGAAAAGCUGAAUGUGGAUACUUCUUUCGUUGAGCAUAUAUUGAUGGUCACUUAAUCAAUACUUAGAAUGCCUUCAACAAACAAUACAAGGGUAGGGUCCAAGCUGGAGGGGGAAUGAUGAAUUCUUCCCCAUCAUUUGGGUUCAAGUCUGUGGAACCAGCAGCUCUCUAGGUUGUUGUGAGAGAGAGCAUGCAGUGCUAAAUGCACUUAAGGCAUAGAUGGAGCAGCCUAUGCUAAGGCAAUUGGGAAGUUUCAUGAUAACAAGCUAUGGAUGGGGCUAUUUUUGGAGAUGCCAAACGAUAGAAAACAGGAUUGGGUGCUGCAUAUUAAAUGAUGGUGAGUUUGUGGUUGUAUUUGUUUAGCCUUUGGUCUUGGUUUGUAAUGUGUCACCUAUUUCAGACAUGAUUUUUGUUGGUGGAUUAUGACGUGCUAGUCUUUCAGAGUAUGAGCUGUGGAUCAUGACAUCUUUAGAUGUUUGAACCUGUUUUUCAUGAAUCAUGACAUGUUGAUCCAUGGCUUACGAAA